UACUCUGUAAAGUUGUGGGAGGAAUUACCUAAUUUAUGUAAAAAGCACAGCAGAGUGGCCUCUAGUGUGUGUCUAAUUGCUAUUUCUCUUUUCCCUUGAGUCUUCCACAAAUUAUAACAGUUUAUAUUUAAGUGUCUUCUACUCUAUGACAGGCUCAAUUCUAAGUGUUUUACAUGGAUCGACUAAUUUAAUCUACAUAAAAACUCUACAGGACAGAAGUGAUAAACAUCACUGUGUUACAGAUGAGAAAACUUAACAUAGUGGCUUAUGCAACUCGCCUAAGGUCAUAUAAGAGGAAAGCAGCAGAAUCCAGACCUGACCCCAGCAGUGUUGUCCAAUUUCAGAGGCAGUAAAACAGUCAUUGACUAUCUUUACCGUGAUCCCAUGGUAAGAUACACAUUUUACAUCAUAAGUAUGUGUAGGCAUAUGGCGGUAUCUAAAGUAUAAAUAUGUUUCACAAAAUAAUACCCUUACUAUCUGUGUGCAUUCUGAUAGUUUCUCCUCAUUUUAAUUUUGAAAAAUGUUUGACCAACUUACUGAUUUAAUGAUCUAUUGAUGAGUCAAAACUGCACUUUGAAAAACUGCUUGUCUAAAUUACAAUUUAUCCAACUGUUCUGACCCUUCAGCUACCUCAACCUCUACCAGAAAAACUGAUGGCUCUCAGUUCAGAUAUUCAUAUUUCAUGUAUAUUCCAGAUGAAGUCCUUAUUAAUUAUUAAGAUACUGAUCACCCACCCUGACUCAGACCUACUCCCCAUUGCAAACUCUUUUGCAUUUAUGGAAAAAUAUCUCAUCAGGGAGUCCAGCCAUCUCUAAGUUCAGUCCGUUCCAUCUGGCUACUCACUGGAAGGACGGUAAUCCUUUCCCCAUCAGAGCAUAGCUGAGGCUAAAAUAUAAUGAAUUGCCUGGUACAGUGACCAUCCAAGGGCACCACCAAGAAGUAUAAAGACCUCUGUCUUUGUCUCUACUAGCAGAUGUUGCCUCAUUAGACAAAAAAUCAUGGGCUUUAUUUAUCUUUAUGUAUGUUGCUCAACCAAACGAAGCCAGAAUAUAAAUUAUGUAUAUGAGUGUGCUCAUGUACUCACAGGAUGAAUAAAGAUUCAAACCCACGACCAGUCACUCUUUGGAACAAC
This is a long non-coding RNA of Cebus imitator (Panamanian white-faced capuchin), 1132 nucleotides long. RefSeq lists it as uncharacterized. The transcript is spliced from 2 exons. Lineage: Eukaryota; Metazoa; Chordata; Mammalia; Primates; Cebidae. The record is from RefSeq and is a predicted model, not a curated record.